This 1187-nucleotide ribosomal RNA is filed under the name Bacillus sp. (in: firmicutes). RNAcentral describes it as "bacterial SSU rRNA". It matches the Rfam family "Bacterial small subunit ribosomal RNA", at positions 22 to 1182 of the family's 1533-position model. The record is from RNAcentral. Lineage: Bacteria; Bacillati; Bacillota; Bacilli; Caryophanales; Bacillaceae.
GCUCAGGACGAACGCUGGCGGCGUGCCUAAUACAUGCAAGUCGAGCGGACAGAAGGGAGCUUGCUCCCGGAUGUUAGCGGCGGACGGGUGAGUAACACGUGGGUAACCUGCCUGUAAGACUGGGAUAACUCCGGGAAACCGGAGCUAAUACCGGAUAGUUCCUUGAACCGCAUGGUUCAAGGAUGAAAGACGGUUUCGGCUGUCACUUACAGAUGGACCCGCGGCGCAUUAGCUAGUUGGUGAGGUAACGGCUCACCAAGGCGACGAUGCGUAGCCGACCUGAGAGGGUGAUCGGCCACACUGGGACUGAGACACGGCCCAGACUCCUACGGGAGGCAGCAGUAGGGAAUCUUCCGCAAUGGACGAAAGUCUGACGGAGCAACGCCGCGUGAGUGAUGAAGGUUUUCGGAUCGUAAAGCUCUGUUGUUAGGGAAGAACAAGUGCAAGAGUAACUGCUUGCACCUUGACGGUACCUAACCAGAAAGCCACGGCUAACUACGUGCCAGCAGCCGCGGUAAUACGUAGGUGGCAAGCGUUGUCCGGAAUUAUUGGGCGUAAAGGGCUCGCAGGCGGUUUCUUAAGUCUGAUGUGAAAGCCCCCGGCUCAACCGGGGAGGGUCAUUGGAAACUGGGAAACUGAGGCAGAAGUUGAGUGCAGAAGAGGAGAGUGGAAUUCCACGUGUAGCGGUGAAAUGCGUAGAGAUGUGGAGGAACACCAGUGGCGAAGGCGACUCUCUGGUCUGUAACUGACGCUGAGGAGCGAAAGCGUGGGGAGCGAACAGGAUUAGAUACCCUGGUAGUCCACGCCGUAAACGAUGAGUGCUAAGUGUUAGGGGGUUUCCGCCCCUUAGUGCUGCAGCUAACGCAUUAAGCACUCCGCCUGGGGAGUACGGUCGCAAGACUGAAACUCAAAGGAAUUGACGGGGGCCCGCACAAGCGGUGGAGCAUGUGGUUUAAUUCGAAGCAACGCGAAGAACCUUACCAGGUCUUGACAUCCUCUGACAACCCUAGAGAUAGGGCUUUCCCUUCGGGGACAGAGUGACAGGUGGUGCAUGGUUGUCGUCAGCUCGUGUCGUGAGAUGUUGGGUUAAGUCCCGCAACGAGCGCAACCCUUGAUCUUAGUUGCCAGCAUUCAGUUGGGCACUCUAAGGUGACUGCCGGUGACAAACCGGAGGAAGGUGGGGAUGA